GAUGAACGCUGGCGGCGUGCCUAAUACAUGCAAGUAGAACGCUGAAGCGAGGAGCUUGCUCUUCUUGGAUUAGUGGCGAACGGGUGAGUAACGCGUAGGUAACCUGCCUUGUAGCGGGGGAUAACUACUGGAAACGAUAGCUAAUACCGCAUAACAAUGGAUGACACAUGACAUAUAUUUGAAAGGGGCAAUUGCUCCACUACAAGAUGGACCUGCGUUGUAUUAGCUAGUAGGUGAGGUAAUGGCUCACCUAAGCGACGAUACAUAGCCGGCCUGGGAGGGUGAACGGGCACAACUGGAAUGGGACAACGGCCAAGCCUCCUACGGGAGGCAGCAGAGGGAAAUUUUGGCCAUGGGGCGAAAGCUGGCCGCAGAACGCCGGGGUGGGGGAGGAAGGUCUUCGGUUGGAAAAGCCCGUUGUAAGGCAAAGACGGGUGGGAGAGUGAAAAGUUCACGCUGUGACGGUAGCUAACCAGAAAGCGACGGCUAACUACGUG
Molecule: ribosomal RNA, 497 nt
Filed under: uncultured bacterium
Lineage: Bacteria
Description: partial 16S ribosomal RNA
Rfam family: Bacterial small subunit ribosomal RNA
Source: RNAcentral